Camellia sinensis is the source of this 721-nucleotide non-coding RNA. Lineage: Eukaryota; Viridiplantae; Streptophyta; Magnoliopsida; Ericales; Theaceae. The record is from RefSeq and is a predicted model, not a curated record.
ACUUAUCCCAUCAACACCUUCUCUCACCCUGUCUCGCACUCACCCAUCCACCCCCCUCUUGAUCCAUCUUGAUCCAUUCUCCGAAACCCCAAGGAAACCCUCCCAAAUAGAAACCCCAAGUAAACCUAAAUUGAGAGAGGUUGAAACCCUAAAUUGAAGAUGAAGAAGAAUUCGGAACCCCAAGUUAAACCAUGCACGGAGAUGAAAUCUUCUGAAAUACAUCAAGCAUCUUGAAAUCCAGAUUGCGACUAAUCAAGCAAUAAUGGAAGUAGAUGAGGAUGGUGGUGAAACUGCCAUGCUUUUCCAUAGUGAAAACUGUACUUGCUUGCCCUCGUAAUCAGCCAGCCCAAUGCAAAGCUAGGACUUCAUCCAUGUAGCCUAAGUUCUGGAAUUUUAUUUGGGAGAGCAUCACUACUAGCCAAUACCAAUUGCAUGGAAAACAGUUUUGCUCAAUUCCAGUCUCAAAGACAGCUACAAAUUAUAUUUUGUUACUUGUAUAUUUACUAGCAAUUCACAUUUUAGGGAUAAUUACCAGUAGGUUAUUUACUCAUAAGUCAUGAGUGGAUUUUUUUAAUACUUAUUUGCCCCUUGUUUUGAUAAUGAGAAAGUUUUGAAACUGUUUAGAUGUGUUUUGUAUUUAUGGAAUGAUCAUUUGGUACUGUAAUCAUACUCUGAUAAAUUUAUCAAAAUAAUAAAUUAUUGGGAUAUUUUGUCUUUUGUU